This is a small nucleolar RNA of Peromyscus maniculatus bairdii (prairie deer mouse), 136 nucleotides long. The record is from Ensembl. Lineage: Eukaryota; Metazoa; Chordata; Mammalia; Rodentia; Cricetidae.
UAGCAUGGGUCCGCACAUGGGUAGCAACGCUCAUUCUGGUGCGUUCAAAGGACAGUAUAAUAGAAAUUCAAUAUCUGGCAUUGUAGGUUUUCUUGGCUUUGUGCUUGUUAAUCCUGGUAUUUCUAUUGAUGCAGUU